Molecule: long non-coding RNA, 110 nt
Organism: Cygnus olor (mute swan)
Lineage: Eukaryota; Metazoa; Chordata; Aves; Anseriformes; Anatidae
Exons: 3
Source: RefSeq, a predicted model, not a curated record
GAGCAGAGGGGGAGAAUCACCUCCCUUGAACUGCUGGUCAUACUUCUUUUGACGCAGCCCAGGCUAUGGUUGGCUUUCUGGGCUGCAAGUGCACAUCUCUGUGUCACUUU